Molecule: ribosomal RNA, 374 nt
Filed under: uncultured eukaryote
Lineage: Eukaryota
Description: partial 18S ribosomal RNA
Rfam family: Eukaryotic small subunit ribosomal RNA
Source: RNAcentral
UAAUAGUGUAUAUUAAAGUUGUUGCAGUUAAAAAGCUCGUAGUUGAAUGUUGGUGUCGAACGAGCGGUCAGCUUCGGCUGUACUGCUCUCUCGACUCCUUCCUUCUGUGGACUACGUCGCACUUUACUGUGUGGCGCUAGGACGCAGAUCGUUUACUGUGAAAAAAUUAGAGUGUUCAAAGCAGGCCGUACGCUUGAAUACAUUAGCAUGGAAUAAUGGAAUAGGCCGUCGGGCCUAUUUUGUUGGUUCUAGGACCGUCGUAAUGAUUAAUAGGGACAGUUGGGGCCGUUUAUAUUCCGUAGUCAGAGGUGAAAUUCUUGGAUUUACGGAAGAUAAACUACUGCGAAAGCAUUCGGCAAGGAUGUUUUCGUUAA